AAACGCUGAGGCUAGAGACACGAGGGGAGGAAAAAAAUAGCAACGCGACGAAAGAGUUAGUUGUGUUAAGUUACAGAUGUUGUGGAAACUUAAAUCCGGAGCUUAGCCCCUGCUAGCUGGAAGGAAAAGGAGCGUGUGUGGGAGAAUAUUAUGCGCCGAGUUUUCUGAUGUGCCUCAAGCCUACAUGCCGCCCGCCUGCCUGCCGCCACGCAUGCUGCUGCUGUAGAGGGUGUCGCUAGGGGAACCUGCUGAUGCACGGACCAGUUUCUUCAUCUCACAUCACGUUUCCUCAUUGAACAGAAGGUUUGAUGACAAUUGACUAGUUGUGUUUCUGAACCUUCAAGGAUCAGUGAGUACUGAGGAACACGUUUUCACGAGGAUUCAAAUGAGCUCCAACAUGCGCGCCAACACAUGGUACCAUAACUGAGUUUACAAAACCCCGGGUAUUAUUAUUUUAAUUUUAUUUGACUUAAAGGGUGAUUGCGUUUUUGUUAAUAAACACCCAUGUUGUUGCACAGU
Long non-coding RNA from Larimichthys crocea (large yellow croaker), 519 nucleotides. RefSeq lists it as uncharacterized. The record is from RefSeq and is a predicted model, not a curated record. The transcript is spliced from 3 exons. NCBI's taxonomy places the organism in Eukaryota, Metazoa, Chordata, Actinopteri, Sciaenidae.